CACACACGGGGGAAGGCUUUGGCUUGUCCAUUUGCCGUUCCGGUGUCUGCUUCAGCCUCAGGCUGCUGCACCACGCUCCCCGUGGAGGUUCAACCGGAAAAAUAUGGAGUUCA
Molecule: small RNA, 113 nt
Filed under: Pannonibacter phragmitetus
Lineage: Bacteria; Pseudomonadati; Pseudomonadota; Alphaproteobacteria; Hyphomicrobiales; Stappiaceae
Description: rpsB sRNA
Rfam family: rpsB sRNA
Source: Rfam by way of RNAcentral